Molecule: ribosomal RNA, 320 nt
Filed under: uncultured eukaryote
Lineage: Eukaryota
Description: partial 18S ribosomal RNA
Rfam family: Eukaryotic small subunit ribosomal RNA
Source: RNAcentral
CCCUUAGAUGUUCUGGGCUGCACGCGUGUUACAAUCGGGAGUACAACAAGAUUGCAAAUCCUAGUGGAUGAGUGGUUCUUCGAAAUUUUCUGAAGACUGGGAUAGUUGAUUGAAAUUAUUCAACUCGAACGAGGAAUUCCUUGUAAUUGUAAUUCAUUAUAUUGUAAUGAAUACGUCCCUGCCCUUUGUACACACCGCCCGUCGCUCCUACCGAUUGAACGAUCCGGUGAAUUAUUUGGAGUAGCUCUGGAAGUUGCAGAACUUCCUAUGUCACGAAAUUUUGUAAACCUUAUCGUUUAGAGGAAGGAAAAGUCGCAACA